This 444-nucleotide ribosomal RNA is filed under the name uncultured bacterium. Its description in RNAcentral is "SSU rRNA". It matches the Rfam family "Bacterial small subunit ribosomal RNA", at positions 26 to 518 of the family's 1533-position model. The record is from RNAcentral.
AGAACGAACGCUGGCGGCAGGCUUAACACAUGCAAGUCGAGCGCUGUAGCAAUACAGAGCGGCGCACGGGAGAGUAAUACAUGGGAACCUACCUAUUGGUUCGGGAUAACGUCGGGAAACUGACGCUAAUACCGAAUAAGUCCUUCGGGAGAAAGAUUUAUCGCCGAUAGACGGGCCCAUGUUGGAUUAGCUAGUUGGUGAGGUAACGGCUCACCAAGGCUACGAUCCAUAGCUGGUCUGAGAGGAUGAUCAGCCUCACUGGGACUGAGACACGGCCCAGACUCCUACGGGAGGCAGCAGUGGGGAAUAUUGGACAAUGGGGGCAACCCUGAUCCAGCCAUGCCGCGUGAGUGAUGAAGGCCUUGGGUUGUAAAGCUCUUUUGGUGGGACGAUGAUGACGGUACCCACAGAAUAAGCCCCGGCUAACUUCGUGCCAGCAGCCGC